RNAcentral lists this transfer RNA (73 nucleotides) under Trichonephila inaurata madagascariensis. It matches the Rfam family "tRNA". Rfam says of the family: Transfer RNA (tRNA) molecules are approximately 80 nucleotides in length. Their secondary structure includes four short double-helical elements and three loops (D, anti-codon, and T loops). The record is from Rfam by way of RNAcentral. Lineage: Eukaryota; Metazoa; Arthropoda; Arachnida; Araneae; Nephilidae.
GGGGCAGUAGCUCAGACGGUAGAGCACUCGCUUAGCAUGCGAGAGGUACGGGGAUCGAAACCCCGCGCCUCCA